UUCUAACAAAGCCACUAGCGUACCUACCUAUUUGUUCUCUCAGACUUCAACAACCAAGACGUUCUUGUUCAAUGCAAACAAGAUGGCAGCCAGUGCAUUAUGAUCCAGCCACAUCAAACAGCACAAGCAAUGGCAGUGAAGAUGCUGUCUUCAGGUGAAGCGAGGUGAACAUCAACUUUGAAAAUACACAACCUAUAAAUCCUUUGGCCUUUGAACUGGAUUGUACAUCUCAUCAUAAUCACGCAGUUCCCUGGAUGGAUGAGAAAUUACUUGCAGUGUUGUUGUUUUUUCUAAAAAGAGCAAGAGAAAAGGGUCCACAGCUGAGCCCUGAUCUUGAAAACCUGCCCCAAAUCUGAUCCUCCCUCUGAGUGUGAUUAAAGGAUGCAGUGUGGAGCUUCACAAUGUCCCAUUUGGAGAGACUGUUCCAAAGAGUGAACCAUCUGAAUAGAUAAAAGUCCCCCCAUAAAGAACCAUCUGUGCCCCUUAGUUGAGUCUCUUUUGAAUUAUGAAUGUAGUUGUUGGUUUCUUGAAUUUUGAAUAAAUCUGCCUCUGUGCCCUUGGA
Hemicordylus capensis (graceful crag lizard) is the source of this 562-nucleotide long non-coding RNA. RefSeq lists it as uncharacterized. The record is from RefSeq and is a predicted model, not a curated record. The transcript has 3 exons. Lineage: Eukaryota; Metazoa; Chordata; Lepidosauria; Squamata; Cordylidae.